Long non-coding RNA from Salvia hispanica, 658 nucleotides. RefSeq lists it as uncharacterized. NCBI's taxonomy places the organism in Eukaryota, Viridiplantae, Streptophyta, Magnoliopsida, Lamiales, Lamiaceae. The record is from RefSeq and is a predicted model, not a curated record.
UGAGAGCCCAAGACUUUAAAUAAUGAGAGAAAACCCUACUCUCAUUUUCUCUUCUCACUCCCUGCGCCUCCUCUCUCUCCCAACGUCUCUCUCUCAUUCUCCCAACUCCCUCAGCCUCGCCGGAAAUUGCCACCGCCGGUCACACCGGCGUCGUCUCCCUUACCCCCUUCUUCCUCUCCCCUCUCCCUCUCUACCAUGAAUUCAGCCAGCUCGAGCUUGAGCUCGGCCUCGUGCUGUUCGUGCAGCGCCGCCAGCCGCCGCCCUUCGCCGUUGCCGCUGCAUACACGGCGGUCUAGCCGCCGUCGCCAUCCGCCGUCGACCAAGAGAGUUGUAGAAACAGAUAGAUCGUGAAAAGAGGAUCGAAAAUAAAUGAAUUUCGUUGUUGCUCGCCGGACAGCCACCGGAACGCCGCCGGACAGCCGCCGGAGCUCCGUCGACGUCGCCGGGCAGAAUCUUCGGCUUGAGGAUCAUGAUUUGAAGAAAUAGGAUGACAUCUAAAGAGUGUAGCUUUGGUUCUCCGGGAAGCUAUUAUUCUUCUUUGUAUAGAUAUAGAAACAUGUAGUAUUUUUCUCACUUGUAUAGAAGACACUCUAUUAUGUAUAAAUAAACAUUCAAUAUCUAUUUCUACUAUAAUUGUAUAUGGACAAUUAUUUCAUAA